Molecule: long non-coding RNA, 576 nt
Organism: Physeter macrocephalus (sperm whale)
Lineage: Eukaryota; Metazoa; Chordata; Mammalia; Artiodactyla; Physeteridae
Exons: 3
Source: RefSeq, a predicted model, not a curated record
CCAUCUGUAUAAUCAUCUGUGUGCUUCUGGAAGGCCUGGAUGACCAGACUGAACGGUUGCCCUGGAUGGAGCUGGUAGAGUGCUAGAGACUAAAUGUUUGUGUGCCCCCAAAUUCAUAUGCUAAAACCUAACCCCCAAGGAGAUGGUGUUGGGAGGUGAUUGGGUCCUGAGGGUAUAGCGCUCAGGAACAGAAUUAGUGCUCCUGUGAAAGAAACUCUGGAGAGCUCCCUCGCCGCUUGUACCAUGUGAGGCCACAGCGAGAAGACAGCUGACUAGGAACCAGGAAGUGGGCUCCACCAGGCAGAGUCAGCCAGCACCUUGCUCUUGGACUUCCCUGCCUCCAGAACCGUGGAUCCACAGGAGGCAAGCAUUUCCCACCAGGACCAACACAAUCCUGAGCCUUUGGCCCUUCCCUUACUGCCCCCUUCGUGGGGCCGAAGGAAAGCUCGGGACCAGGGGCCCUGGCCAACCACAGAGCCAAGCAAGAUCAAGCCUACGGACAGUGAGGACAAUGGCAUCAAGGACUGCCUGAGGAACGAGUCCUCAUUGCAGAGGCCUGCGGGACGGAGAGACAAG